Molecule: unclassified non-coding RNA, 236 nt
Filed under: fungal sp.
Lineage: Eukaryota; Fungi
Description: partial internal transcribed spacer region
Rfam family: Eukaryotic small subunit ribosomal RNA (bases 1-46)
Source: RNAcentral
AAGUCGUAACAAGGUAACCGUAGGUGAACCUGCGGUUGGAUCAUUAACAAAUCUUGAAGCAGGCCUAGCCUGUUUCUUAUACACCUUACCUUUGUGAUAACCUUACUGUAUCUAGCGGGUUAAAACCGAAAGGGGUUGCAAGACCACCCGCAGUUUAUUUAAACACCGUUUAAUGAUUAUGACAUUCAAAAUUGUUUAAAAUUAAACAACUUUUGGCAACGGAUCUCUAGGCUCUU